UCAGAUUACUAUGUUUGUCGCACGCAGCGACUGUCACUGAAACCCUUGCUGACCACCAGGUUCUUUGCGUACCAUAUUUUUCCCAGCGCUACACCUGUCAUCUACGCAUCCACCUCUGAAAAGACUGGUAGCAGUAGAAUGCAGUUAUGCUGUGCUGAGUUUCCCUCGGAACUGAAUGUCUAUCAGUCGCUCCUUGCUGAUCAACCUUAUUUCUGCAGCGUGCAUUUUUCAGAACUGUGGGCUUG
This 245-nucleotide long non-coding RNA is filed under the name Setaria italica (foxtail millet). Its description in RNAcentral is "long non-coding RNA (SITA_LNC002426)". Lineage: Eukaryota; Viridiplantae; Streptophyta; Magnoliopsida; Poales; Poaceae. The record is from RNAcentral.